Molecule: ribosomal RNA, 253 nt
Filed under: uncultured bacterium
Lineage: Bacteria
Description: partial 16S ribosomal RNA
Rfam family: Bacterial small subunit ribosomal RNA
Source: RNAcentral
UACAGAGGGUGCGAGCGUUAAUCGGAAUUACUGGGCGUAAAGCGCGCGUAGGCGGUUAUGUAAGUCGGGUGUGAAAGCCCCGGGCUCAACCUGGGAAUUGCAUUCGAAACUGCAUGGCUAGAGUCUGAUAGAGGGAAGUGGAAUUUCCGGUGUAGCGGUGAAAUGCGUAGAUAUCGGAAGGAACAUCAGUGGCGAAGGCGGCUUCCUGGAUCAAGACUGACGCUGAGGUGCGAAAGCGUGGGUAGCAAACAGG